Non-coding RNA from Electrophorus electricus (electric eel), 2104 nucleotides. The record is from RefSeq and is a predicted model, not a curated record. NCBI's taxonomy places the organism in Eukaryota, Metazoa, Chordata, Actinopteri, Gymnotiformes, Gymnotidae.
UGGGUGAAAAAACACCCACACUCAGUGACUCGUCACCCAGCCCUGGGAGUCUCUGUGGGACCUGCUGUCUGCAGCUGCGCAGCGGUGAGCACACAGCCCAUCCCAGCCCCAGCUCACAACCCACAAUCUGAUCUUGAAUGUAACGUCGAGGAGGGAGCAUGAAUAAUAGAUGAUCUUCUCCUCUUUCCUCCCUUCUCUGCGACCCACCCACAGUGGACUGAUAACGCACGUUCCCAUGCAAUUAAAUCAGAACUUACUGAAUACAAAAUCAGAACUUACUGAAUACAAAACUUACUGGCUUAGGAAAAAUAACUCAGAAUCAAAAUAUGCACACACAACGUUUUUAUAUAUACAUACAUACAUACAUACAUACAUACAUACACACACAUAUCUACUUUAUAUAAAGUAGUUUAAAUAUCUACUUUAAAUAUCUCUGUAUAAAAAAGUAGUUAAAAUAUCUUCUUUAUAUAGCUCUACUUUAUAUAAAAAAUAGUUUAAAUAUCUUCUUGAAAUAUCUCUAUAUAAAAAGUAGUUUUAAUAUCUACUUUAAAUAGCUCUACUUUAUAUAUCUACUUAAAAUAUCCCUCACACACACACACACACACACACACGCUUCUAUGGACUCAUUAACACAUGCAUGAAUACAGAACCCCAGUAUUGUCUGGCAUAUACACAGAUCAUAUAGCUGGUCACCUUAAACUGUCAGCCAUGUUUUGGGUACUCGGUGCAAGCAGAUUAAACUCUGGGCAAGGACAGAAACUGGUGUGUCUUAUCGGAGUUUGCUACAAUAGCCUUGUUUUCGGAGCAUGCCAAGGACCAACACGGCUUAGGGAAAGAUCCGCACUACCAGCAUACAAUGAAGAGUGAAGGGUGAGACUGUGGUUUUAAAACGCUGCUGAUUAGAUAAGCUUUGUAACUAAAGUCUUCAUUUAAUUUUCUGGCCAAAGUAAUAUUUAAUUUCAAAGAUAUGACAAAGGUCACAUUAGCAGGCAAAAGAUCACAGAAUAGUUCAGUUUUCCCUGUUUGUCCUCAAAGAAAAGACAAUAUAUCAUUUUAAAUGAAAGACCAGGCCAGGCAUAGAAAAUAAAGAUAAAUAAAACGGUGUUUCCUAAAGAGGUUUUCAAAAUCAAGUCAACCUACAACCUAAAAAAAAGAUAUGACAUCAUGUAAAAGCAGUAAAUCUGAACAAAUAAACCAUGUGAGAAAAUACGGACAUUAACCAUGUCAUGGUCUGAGAAAGGCUAGUCUCCAAGAAUGUCUGGAAGUAAACUGUUAGUGUCUGUUCUUCCUGUUUCCAUUCUCUGCCACUAUCUUUUUAACUGCAAUUUAUUUACAGAGGACAUUCAUUGCAAUCACCAGACUAUUGCGUAAGCUCUCUGGGUAUUAGGUCAGAGAACGCCAUGAAGCAUGUGAUGAUGCUUCCGGUUAAAGUCUGCAAAAAAAAAUUUUUUUUAUUUACUUCCUACAUUCUGUGGAUCACAAGACCAGUCACCAGGAAGAAGGGGGACUGUACGAAGCAGAACUGGGCACUAAGUAACAGACGGUACCCUUAGUAGGAAAACACUGGAGUUGAAUAAAACACUCAGGUCCAGCAGUCAGAGGAGGGUCCGUAUUGAAGCAAUGGCCACCGGUAAGUCUGCGUCUCCUUCAGCCCUGACCUUACUAGAAGUGCUGUAUUAUGUCAGGGCUGUCCCAGCACAUACUAGGCCACAGGCCGUUAACGGGCAGUAACGUGGGUGCUGACAGCGCUCUGGGCCAGGCCUCGUUAAUCUAUCUGAGUCAGACAUGCUCUCCAAAUCCAGAUUACAGCCGGGAAGCGAAGGGGGCGGGACGGAGACAUGAUGAAAUAAACAAGUACUAAAUGCAUCCCUCUCACGAGAACCUGUUGGACAAACCCACGUGAGAAACUCUCUCUUUCCGUCAUCGACUGACAUGACGAACGCAGGUAUUUGGUCCUUUGAUUAAGAUUGAUUUGAUUUUGAUUAAGUGUGACCGUUACUUUGGAAGUGUUUUGUGCUUUAAAAAAUAUUUUGUAUAUAAUUCAUUGUUAUAUUCAUUUCAAAACUGUUGUGUAAUUCCAUUUCAUUAAACGUAUAUAACAUGA